UGAGCCAAGAGCAAAGAACUCGGCCUGC
This 28-nucleotide non-coding RNA is filed under the name Rattus norvegicus (Norway rat). The record is from RNAcentral. Lineage: Eukaryota; Metazoa; Chordata; Mammalia; Rodentia; Muridae.